ACGCUUGAAGUCAGUCACGUUGGCUAGAAAUCAGCCUUGCUUUUGCCUGGUGUACUUUCUUGUUGACGGGUCAGCAUCAAUUUUGACCAUCAGAUAAAGUCUUUUGGGAAUGUGGCAUCUUCGGAUGUGUUAUAGCCCAUUGUCGCAUAUGGUGGUUGGGAUUGAGGAACUCAGCACGCCCGCAAGGGACGGGUUUCGACCACGUUCGUGCUCAGGAUGCUGGCAUAAUGGCUUUAAUCGACCCGUCUUGAAACACGGACCAAGGAGUC
RNAcentral lists this ribosomal RNA (269 nucleotides) under Inocybe aff. geophylla. RNAcentral's name for it is "partial large subunit ribosomal RNA". The record is from RNAcentral. Lineage: Eukaryota; Fungi; Basidiomycota; Agaricomycetes; Agaricales; Inocybaceae.